This 429-nucleotide ribosomal RNA is filed under the name bacterium. RNAcentral describes it as "partial 16S ribosomal RNA". It matches the Rfam family "Bacterial small subunit ribosomal RNA", at positions 355 to 776 of the family's 1533-position model. The record is from RNAcentral.
UAGGGAAUCUUCGGCAAUGGGGGCAACCCUGACCGAGCAACGCCGCGUGAGUGAAGAAGGUUUUCGGAUCGUAAAGCUCUGUUGUAAGAGAAGAACGUGUGUGAGAGUGGAAAGUUCACACAGUGACGGUAACUUACCAGAAAGGGACGGCUAACUACGUGCCAGCAGCCGCGGUAAUACGUAGGUCCCGAGCGUUGUCCGGAUUUAUUGGGCGUAAAGCGAGCGCAGGCGGUUUAAUAAGUCUGAAGUAAAAGGCAGUGGCUUAACCAUUGUUCGCUUUGGAAACUGUUAAACUUGAGCGCAGAAGGGGAGAGUGGAAUUCCAUGUGUAGCGGUGAAAUGCGUAGAUAUAUGGAGGAACACCGGUGGCGAAAGCGGCUCUCUGGUCUGUAACUGACGCUGAGGCUCGAAAGCGUGGGGAGCAAACAGG